AUUGAACGCUGGCGGAAUGCUUUACACAUGCAAGUCGAACGGUAGAGGGGGCAACCCCUUGAGAGUGGCGAACGGGUGAGUAAUAUAUCGGAACGUGCCCAGUCGUGGGGGAUAACGUAGCGAAAGUUACGCUAAUACCGCAUACGAUCUACGGAUGAAAGCGGGGGACCGUAAGGCCUCGCGCGAUUGGAGCGGCCGAUGUCAGAUUAGCUAGUUGGUGGGGUAAAGGCCCACCAAGGCGACGAUCUGUAGCUGGUCUGAGAGGACGACCAGCCACACUGGAACUGAGACACGGUCCAGACUCCUACGGGAGGCAGCAGUGGGGAAUUUUGGACAAUGGGCGCAAGCCUGAUCCAGCAAUGCCGCGUGCAGGAAGAAGGCCUUCGGGUUGUAAACUGCUUUUGUACGGAACGAAACGGUCUGGGCUAAUACCCCGGGCUAAUGACGGUACCGUAAGAAUAAGCACCGGCUAACUACGUG
This 480-nucleotide ribosomal RNA is filed under the name uncultured bacterium. RNAcentral's name for it is "bacterial SSU rRNA". It matches the Rfam family "Bacterial small subunit ribosomal RNA", at positions 30 to 507 of the family's 1533-position model. The record is from RNAcentral.